RNAcentral lists this microRNA (20 nucleotides) under Triticum aestivum (bread wheat). RNAcentral's name for it is "tae-miR9652-3p". Lineage: Eukaryota; Viridiplantae; Streptophyta; Magnoliopsida; Poales; Poaceae. The record is from miRBase by way of RNAcentral.
AAGCUUAAUGAGAACAUGUG